RNAcentral lists this ribosomal RNA (166 nucleotides) under Dumasia truncata. Its description in RNAcentral is "5.8S ribosomal RNA". It matches the Rfam family "5.8S ribosomal RNA". Rfam says of the family: 5.8S ribosomal RNA (5.8S rRNA) is a component of the large subunit of the eukaryotic ribosome. It is transcribed by RNA polymerase I as part of the 45S precursor that also contains 18S and 28S rRNA. Functionally, it is thought that 5.8S rRNA may be involved in ribosome translocation. Lineage: Eukaryota; Viridiplantae; Streptophyta; Magnoliopsida; Fabales; Fabaceae. The record is from RNAcentral. RNAcentral also lists the same sequence under 3 other names.
ACAAAAUGACUCUCGGCAACGGAUAUCUCGGCUCUUGCAUCGAUGAAGAACGUAGCGAAAUGCGAUACUUGGUGUGAAUUGCAGAAUCCCGUGAACCAUCGAGUCUUUGAACGCAAGUUGCGCCUGAAGCCAUUAGGCUGAGGGCACGCCUGCCUGGGUGUCACAC